This 234-nucleotide unclassified non-coding RNA is filed under the name Hevea brasiliensis (rubber tree). Lineage: Eukaryota; Viridiplantae; Streptophyta; Magnoliopsida; Malpighiales; Euphorbiaceae. The record is from RNAcentral.
AACACCAUGACCAAGGUCAUGGCUCUGGAGUUGGGAGUGCACAAGAUCAGAGUUAACUCAAUAUCACCUGGACUCUUCAAAUCUGAGAUCACAGACGGUCUUAUGCAAAAGGACUGGCUCACCAAUGUUGCUUUGAAAACCGUCCCUUUGCGAACAUAUGGCACCUCAGAUCCGGCAUUAACGUCGCUGGUCCGAUACUUAAUCAAUGACUCCUCAGAAUAUGUGUCUGGCAAU